This 549-nucleotide small RNA is filed under the name Pongo abelii (Sumatran orangutan). RNAcentral's name for it is "retained intron". Lineage: Eukaryota; Metazoa; Chordata; Mammalia; Primates; Hominidae. The record is from RNAcentral.
ACUGAGCCAGACCCAGCUGUCCCCAUUCCCACUUCUGGUCCUGCCACCUCCUGAGCCACCUUCUCACCUGGUCUGGGUAGAGUAAUGGCCUCGAGCACAGGUGACCAGAGCCAGAUGGUGAAAAACGGACUGAGAACGAAGGUGCUGACGCUGGACAGCAUGAACCCACGUGUGCAGAGGGUGGAGUACGCGGUGCGUGGCCCCAUAGUGCAGCGAGCCUUGGAGCUGGAGCAGGAGCUGCGCCAGGGUGUGAAGAAGCCUUUCACCGAGGUCAUCCGUGCCAACAUUGGGGACGCACAGGCUAUGGGGCAGAGGCCCAUCACCUUCCUGCGCCAGCCCCAACUUCCCUGAGGAUGCCAAGAAAAGGGCGGAGCGCAUCCUGCAGGCGUGUGGGGGCCACAGUCUGGGGGCCUACAGCGUCAGCUCCGGCAUCCAGCUAAUCCGGGAAGACGUGGCGCGGUACAUUGAGAGGCGUGAUGGAGGCAUCCCUGCGGACCCCAACAACGUCUUCCUGUCCACAGGGGCCAGCGAUGCCAUCGUGGUAGGCUG